CAAGAAUUACUAAAUCCACUCCUCAACACAAGAAACCUUCAUUGUUUCAAACGGUAUUUCGUUAAAGGAUAUCGAGAAACUGCGUCCCUUUUUUUUUUAACACGAGGAGCGCAUUCAACAGUGCGCGGUGCGUAGCUCAAGUAGCGGACCUGCUGAAAGCUGCGCGGCUGAACAAGGUGGAAGAGUGAGUGAAUCCAUCGACUCUCUUCAACCUAAACAUAUUUCUUAUACAGUUUUAUCCAUGGGGACUGUCAGGGUAAUCGUGAGUUCUUGAGUUUGCAAGAGAAUGUGAUUUUUACGCACAGAUCAGACGGAUGACGCGCUGUUCCAGCCAUGAACGCGCAUCGUGAGGCGCACCGCUGAUAUCUUGAUUUCAAAGGAAGUUUUUAUUACUGUGCGUGUGUCUGCUGUCGACUCAACUUUUACGGCCUUGCUCAGUGAAGCCAGAUGAGAAGGCAGAGGAGCGGAAGGUGGUUGACUUAACAUGGCUGAGCCGCUGGGCCAUCAAUGGGCGCUGGCUGGAGCUCCCCAAAGCGCCUGAAUCCCAGUUGAGUGGAUUGUUUUGGGGUCUGGCAGGUGACCAGAGGCCCAUAAUGACGAAGAGGGAGAAAUUCAACCCGGAUCCGUCCAUCCACAUAUCCAAGAUGAAUGUCAUCAUCCCGUUUUCACCAGAUGUGCCCUGUGACAGCAACGGCCAGCGGAUGUGGUGGGCUUUCCUCGCCUCCUCCAUGGUCACUUUCUUUGGGGGUCUCUUCAUAAUCCUCCUGUGGAGAACUCUCAAAUACCUGUGGACUGUGUGCUGCCACUGUAACGCCAAAAAGAAGACGGUCCAUCGGAUCAACACAGGCGAUGGCAUCAAACGCAUUGACAAGGAAGACCCGGCGGCCAGCGAGGUGGGCUGGAUGACCUCGGUCAAAGACUGGGCCGGAGUCAUGAUAUCCGCUCAGACACUGACGGGAAGAGUCCUGGUGGUGCUUGUAUUUGCUCUCAGCAUUGGAGCCCUUGUUAUAUACUUCAUAGAUUCUUCUGAUCCUAUCGAGUCCUGUCAGAACUUCUAUAAAGACUUUACGCUGCAGAUCGACAUGGCUUUCAACGUGUUCUUCUUGCUCUACUUCGGCCUCCGAUUCAUCGCUGCCAACGACAAGCUGUGGUUCUGGUUGGAGGUGAACUCGGUGGUGGACUUCUUCACGGUUCCUCCGGUGUUUGUGUCGGUGUACCUGAACAGGAGCUGGCUCGGCUUGAGGUUUUUAAGGGCCUUAAGAUUGAUACAGUUCUCAGAAAUUUUACAAUUUUUGAAUAUACUAAAGACGAGCAACUCGAUAAAGCUGGUGAACCUGUGUUCAAUCUUCAUAAGCACAUGGCUAACUGCAGCAGGAUUCAUUCAUUUGGUGGAAAACUCAGGGGAUCCCUGGGAAAACUUCCAAAAUUCCCAGCCACUCUCGUACUGGGAAUGUGUCUACUUGCUCAUGGUUACUAUGUCCACUGUUGGCUAUGGAGACGUUUAUGCAAAAACCACCCUGGGCCGGCUGUUUAUGGUCUUCUUCAUCCUUGGCGGUUUGGCCAUGUUUGCGAGCUACGUCCCUGAAAUCAUAGAGUUAAUAGGAAACCGCAAGAAAUAUGGUGGUUCCUAUAGUGCGGUUAAUGGGAGAAAGCACAUCGUGGUCUGUGGUCAUAUAACACUUGAGAGUGUGUCCAACUUUCUAAAAGACUUCCUACACAAGGACAGGGAUGAUGUCAAUGUAGAAAUUGUUUUUCUUCAUAAUAUUUCCCCUAAUCUUGAGCUGGAAGCCUUGUUCAAGCGUCAUUUCACUCAAGUGGAGUUUUACCAAGGAUCCGUCCUGAACCCACACGACCUGGCCCGAGUCAAGAUCGAAUCAGCUGAUGCCUGUUUGAUCUUAGCCAACAAAUAUUGUGCAGACCCCGAUGCUGAGGAUGCAUCCAACAUCAUGAGAGUAAUAUCUAUCAAGAACUACCAUCCAAAGAUCAGAAUAAUCACUCAAAUGUUGCAGUACCACAAUAAGGCCCACCUUUUGAACAUCCCGAGCUGGAACUGGAAGGAGGGAGAUGAUGCUAUUUGCCUUGCAGAGCUGAAGCUGGGCUUCAUCGCUCAGAGCUGCCUGGCUCAGGGCCUCUCCACCAUGCUGGCCAACCUUUUUUCCAUGAGGUCCUUCAUCAAGAUUGAGGAGGACACGUGGCAGAAGUAUUACCUAGAAGGAGUAGCCAAUGAGAUGUACACUGAGUACCUGUCGAGUGCCUUUGUGGGCAUGUCCUUCCCUGUAAUUUGCGAACUCUGCUAUGUGAAGCUAAAGCUGCUACUGAUAGCUAUAGAGUACAAAUCUGAUCAAAGGGAAUGCAGCACCCUGAUAAAUCCUGGAAACCACAUGAAAAUGCAGGAGGGGACAUUGGGCUUCUUCAUUGCCAGUGAUGCCAAAGAAGUAAAAAGGGCGCUGUUUUACUGUAAAGCCUGCCACGAUGACAUUACUGAUCCCAAAAGGAUUAAGAAAUGUGGAUGCAAGAAAUUGAUAUAUUCCAAGACGGCCGCCUACAAGAAAAUCAGACUGGCAUGUUGUUUUGAUUGCGGCCGCUCAGAGCGGGACUGCUCUUGCAUGCCAGUUAAUGUGCAUUGUAACAUGGACUCCCCUCGACGCGACAUCCCACUCUCUGCUGUCUCUGUUAAUGAUUGCUCAGCCACUUUACGUGCCUCUAAAAAUAGCUAUAAUGGAUAUAUCAAAUCAAUCGAAGAGGACCAACAGUCGGCGUUAUCGCCUAAGAAAAAGCAACGUAACGGAGGCAUGAGAAAUUCUCCAAACUCCUCACCCAAGAUAAUGAGGCAUGAGCCACUCCUCAUCCCGGGGAACGACCAGAUGGAGAGCAUGGACGAGAACGUAAAGAAAUACGACUCCACGGGGAUGUUUCACUGGUGCCCGUCCAAAGACAUCGAGAAGGUCAUCUUGACCCGGAGCGAAGCAGCCAUGACCGUUCUGAGCGGUCAUGUGGUCGUGUGCAUAUUUGGAGAUGUGAAAUCGGCAUUGAUCGGUCUCCGUAAUUUUGUCAUGCCUCUGAGAGCGAGCAACUUUCACUACCACGAGCUGAAGCACAUCGUGUUCGUCGGCUCCCUCGAGUAUCUGAAGCGGGAGUGGGAAACUCUUCACAAUUUUCCAAAGGUCUCCAUUUUACCUGGCACACCGUUGAGUCGGGCAGAUCUGAGGGCUGUCAACAUCAACCUCUGCGACAUGUGUGUCAUUCUGUCAGCCAAUCAGAGCAAUAUUGACGAUGCAUCACUGCAGGACAAAGAAUGCAUCUUGGCGUCACUCAACAUCAAAUCCAUGCUGUUUGACGACAGCAUCGGGGUCUUGCAGGCUAAUUCCCAAGGCUUCACGCCACCAGGGAUGGAUAGAUCAUCUCCUGAAAACAGCCCAGUCCAUGGAUUAGUGAGACAGACCUCUGUCACAACUGGAGCAAAUAUUCCCAUCAUAACAGAACUUGCGCCAUUAGCAAAGCCAGGCAAAAAAGUGCCUGUGAUUUCAUUCAGUCAGGAUAAAAGCAGUGGGACCAGCAUACAAAUGAUAACUGAGCUGGUGAACGACUCGAACGUUCAGUUCCUGGACCAGGAUGAUGAUGACGACCCUGACACAGAGUUAUACCUCACUCAGCCUUUUGCCUGUGGGACAGCCUUCGCCGUCAGUGUGCUGGAUUCUUUAAUGAGUGCUACAUACUUCAAUGACAAUAUCCUCACCUUGAUCCGGACGUUGGUAACAGGCGGGGCGACGCCGGAGCUGGAGGGGCUGCUGGCGGAGGAGAAUGCGUUACGGGGCGGCUACAGCACGCCACAGACGCUGGCGAACAGGGACAGGUGUCGCGUGGCACAGCUGGCCUUGUACGACGGGCCCUUCGCCGACCUCGGGGAUGGUGGUUGUUAUGGUGACCUGUUCUGUAAAGCCCUGAAAACAUACAACAUGUUGUGCUUUGGCAUCUAUCGGCUACGAGACGCACAUCUAAACUCACAAAGCCAAUGUACCAAACGGUAUGUCAUAACAAAUCCACCUUAUGCGUUUGAGCUGGUGCCCUCAGACCUGAUAUUCUGCCUAAUGCAGUUUGACCACAACGCGGGCCAGUCUCGAACCAGCCUCUCCCACUCUUCACAUUCGUCCCAUUCCUCCAGCAAAAAGAGCUCCUCCGUCCACUCUAUUCCCACCACCAACCGCACCAACCGCGCCAAAAGCAGGGACUCACGAGACAAACAAAACUGCUGAAUGAACACUACAAGCUUUUUAUGUGCAACAAGGAUGAAUAGAGUGGGCCAAGAAAAGACAUGGUUUACAGAUGAGCCGGAGAACCUGAGGACCAGACAGAUCAAGCCUGUGAAUACGCAUCAACCAAGUCAGUCAGUAUAAAUCCACAAGCAGCUUGAUUCCACCCAUGAGAGAAAGCAGAAGACGAGUGCUGAGCUCCGUCCCUGCGCUGACACCUGGACGCUCGGACUCCCAGAAAGCUCCUCGUGUGGGUGUCACACCGGGAUCCGGGUUAUC
Cottoperca gobio is the source of this 4529-nucleotide RNA transcript. It is a transcript of the gene named calcium-activated potassium channel subunit alpha-1, with no coding region annotated. The record is from RefSeq and is a predicted model, not a curated record. The transcript is spliced from 34 exons. Lineage: Eukaryota; Metazoa; Chordata; Actinopteri; Perciformes; Bovichtidae.